Molecule: ribosomal RNA, 497 nt
Filed under: uncultured bacterium
Lineage: Bacteria
Description: partial 16S ribosomal RNA
Rfam family: Bacterial small subunit ribosomal RNA
Source: RNAcentral
GACGAACGCUGGCGGCGUGCCUAAUACAUGCAAGUUGAGCGAUGAAGAUUGGUGCUUGCACCAAUUUGAAGAGCAGCGAACGGGUGAGUAACGCGUGGGGAAUCUGCCUUUGAGCGGGGGACAACAUUUGGAAACGAAUGCUAAUACCGCAUAACAACUUUAAACAUAAGUUUUAAGUUUGAAAGAUGCAAUUGCAUCACUCAAAGAUGAUCCCGCGUUGUAUUAGCUAGUUGGUGAGGUAAAGGCUCACCAAGGCGAUGAUACAUAGCCGACCUGAGAGGGUGAUCGGCCACAUUGGGACUGAGACACGGCCCAAACUCCUACGGGAGGCAGCAGUAGGGAAUCUUCGGCAAUGGACGAAAGUCUGACCGAGCAACGCCGCGUGAGUGAAGAAGGUUUUCGGAUCGUAAAACUCUGUUGGUAGAGAAGAGCGUUGGUGAGAGUGGAAAGCUCAUCAAGUGACGGUAACUACCCAGAAAGGGACGGCUAACUACGUG